This 834-nucleotide ribosomal RNA is filed under the name Citrobacter rodentium. RNAcentral's name for it is "bacterial LSU rRNA". It matches the Rfam family "Bacterial large subunit ribosomal RNA", at positions 995 to 1746 of the family's 2925-position model. Lineage: Bacteria; Pseudomonadati; Pseudomonadota; Gammaproteobacteria; Enterobacterales; Enterobacteriaceae. The record is from RNAcentral.
GUGCUAACGUCCGUCGUGAAGAGGGAAACAACCCAGACCGCCAGCUAAGGUCCCAAAGUCAUGGUUAAGUGGGAAACGAUGUGGGAAGGCUCAGACAGCCAGGAUGUUGGCUUAGAAGCAGCCAUCAUUUAAAGAAAGCGUAAUAGCUCACUGGUCGAGUCGGCCUGCGCGGAAGAUGUAACGGGGCUAAACCAUGCACCGAAGCUGCGGCAGCGAACGUAUCACUUAAAGCGAUUCAGCGUCUUACGAUUGACGGAGCGAAGCGACGUCAAAGCGUAUACAAAGUCGAGUCGGUUUAAGGAUACGUUCGUUGGGUAGGGGAGCGUUCUGUAAGCCGUUGAAGGUGUGCUGUGAGGCAUGCUGGAGGUAUCAGAAGUGCGAAUGCUGACAUAAGUAACGAUAAAGCGGGUGAAAAGCCCGCUCGCCGGAAGACCAAGGGUUCCUGUCCAACGUUAAUCGGGGCAGGGUGAGUCGACCCCUAAGGCGAGGCCGAAAGGCGUAGUCGAUGGGAAACAGGUUAAUAUUCCUGUACUUGGUGUUACUGCGAAGGGGGGACGGAGAAGGCUAUGUCGGCCGGGCGACGGUUGUCCCGGUUUAAGCGUGCAGGUGGAACGACCAGGUAAAUCCGGUUGUUCAUUAACACUGAGGCGUGAUGACGAGGCACUAAGGUGCUGAAGUGACAAAUGCCCUGCUUCCAGGAAAAGCCUCUAAGCAUCAGGUAACACGAAAUCGUACCCCAAACCGACACAGGUGGUCAGGUAGAGAAUACCAAGGCGCUUGAGAGAACUCGGGUGAAGGAACUAGGCAAAAUAGUGACGAAAAUUAGGGAGAAGG